GCAGUUGUGGCCGAGUGGUUAAGGCGAUGGACUCGAAAUUCAUUGGGAUCAUCCCGCGCAGGUUCGAAUCCUGCCGACUGCG
RNAcentral lists this transfer RNA (82 nucleotides) under Parasteatoda tepidariorum (common house spider). RNAcentral describes it as "transfer RNA serine (anticodon CGA)". It matches the Rfam family "tRNA". From Rfam's summary of the family: Transfer RNA (tRNA) molecules are approximately 80 nucleotides in length. Their secondary structure includes four short double-helical elements and three loops (D, anti-codon, and T loops). The record is from RNAcentral. Lineage: Eukaryota; Metazoa; Arthropoda; Arachnida; Araneae; Theridiidae.